AGGAAUAUUGGUCAAUGGCCGGAAGGCUGAACCAGCCAAGCCGCGUGAGGGAGGAAGGCGCAGAGCGUCGCAGACCUCUUUUGCCGGGGAGCAGGGCGGCGGACGUGUCCGCCGUUUGAGAGUACCCGGAGAAAAAGCAUCGGCUAACUCCGUGCCAGCAGCCGCGGUAAUACGGAGGAUGCGAGCGUUAUCCGGAUUUAUUGGGUUUAAAGGGUGCGUAGGCGGGCUUUUAAGUCAGCGGUAAAAAUUCGGGGCUCAACCCCGUCCGGCCGUUGAAACUGGGGGCCUUGAGUGGGCGAGAAGAAGGCGGAAUGCGUGGUGUAGCGGUGAAAUGCAUAGAUAUCACGCAGAACCCCGAUUGCGAAGGCAGCCUUCCGGCGCCCUACUGACGCUGAGGCACGAAAGUGCGGGGAUCGAACAG
Molecule: ribosomal RNA, 421 nt
Filed under: uncultured bacterium
Lineage: Bacteria
Description: bacterial SSU rRNA
Rfam family: Bacterial small subunit ribosomal RNA
Source: RNAcentral